RNAcentral lists this ribosomal RNA (253 nucleotides) under uncultured bacterium. RNAcentral describes it as "partial 16S ribosomal RNA". It matches the Rfam family "Bacterial small subunit ribosomal RNA", at positions 524 to 776 of the family's 1533-position model. The record is from RNAcentral.
UACAGAGGUCCCAAGCGUUGUUCGGAUUCAUUGGGCGUAAAGGGUGCGUAGGCGGCGCGGUGAGUCGGGUGUGAAAUCUCGGAGCUUAACUCCGAAACUGCAUUCGAUACUGCCGUGCUUGAGGACUGGAGAGGAGACUGGAAUUUACGGUGUAGCGGUGAAAUGCGUAGAUAUCGUAAGGAAGACCAGUGGCGAAGGCGGGUCUCUGGACAGUUCCUGACGCUGAGGCACGAAGGUCAGGGGAGCAAACGGG